UAACAGAGGGUUCGAUUCUGGCUCAGAUUGAACGCUGGCGGGAUGCUUUACACAUGCAAGUCGAACGGUAGCACGGACGAUCUGGUGGCGAGUGGCGAACGGGUGAGUAAUGUAUCGGAACGUGCCCUAGUAGCGGGGGAUAACUACGCGAAAGCGUAGCUAAUGCCACAUACGCCCUUCGGGGAAAGCGGGGGACCUUCGGGCCUCGCACUAUUAGAGCGGCCGAUAUCGGAUUAGCUAGUUGGUGGGGUAACGGCUCACCAAGGCGACGAUCAUGUAGCUGGUUUGAGAGGACGACCAGCCACACUGGGACUACGAGACACGGCCCAGACUCCUACGGGAGGCAGCAGUGGGGAAUUUUGGACAAUGGGGGAAACCCUGAUCCGGCCAUCCCGCGUGCGAUGAAGGCCUUCGGGUUGUAAAGCACUUUUUGGCAGGAAAGAAACGGCACGGGAUAAUACCCCGUGCAACUGACAAUGCCUGCAGAAUAAGCACCGGCUAACUACGUGCCAGCAGCCGCGGUAAUACGUAGGAUGCAAGCGUUAAUCGGAAUUACUGGGCGUAAAGCGUGCGCAGGCGGUUCGGAAAGAAAGAUGUGAAAUCCCAGAGCUUAACUUUGGAACUGCAUUUUAACUACCGAGCUAGAGUGUGUCAGAGGGAGGUGGAAUUCCGCGUGUAGCAGUGAAAUGCGUAGAUAUGCGGAGGAACACCGAUAGCGAAGGCAGCCUCCUGGGAUAACACUGACGCUCCAUGCACGAAAGCGUGGGGAGCAAACAGGAUUAGAUACCCUGGUAGUCCACGCCCUAAACGAUGUCAACUAGCUGUUGGGGCCUUCGGGCCUUGGUAGCGCAGCUAACGCGUGAAGUUGACCGCCUGGGAAGUACGGUCGCAAGAUUAAAACUCAAAGGAAUUGACGGGGACCCGCACAAGCGGUGGAUGAUGUGGAUUAAUUCGAUGCAACGCGAAAAACCUUACCUACCCUUGACAUGUCUGGAAUCCCGAAGAGAUUUGGGGAGUGCUCGCAAAACCGGAACACAGGUGCUGCAUGGCUGUCGUCAGCUCGUGUCGUGAGAUGUUGGGUUAAGUCCCGCAACGAGCGCAACCCUUGUCAUUAGUUGCUACGAAAGGGCACUCUAAUGAGACUGCCGGUGACAAACCGGAGGAAGGUGGGGAUGACGUCAAGUCCUCAUGGCCCUUAUGGGUAGGGCUUCACACGUCAUACAAUGGUCGGGACAGAGGGUCGCCAACCCGCGAGGGGGAACCAAUCCCGAAGCGAUCGUAGUCCGGAUCGCAGUCUGCAACUCGACUGCGUGAAGUCGGAAUCGCUAGUAAUCGCGGAUCAGCAUGUCGCGGUGAAUACGUUCCCGGGUCUUGUACACACCGCCCGUCACACCAUGGGAGUGGGUUUUACCAGAAGUAGUUAGCCUAACCGUAAGGAGGGCGAUUACCACGGUAAGUUCAUGACUGGGGUGAAGUCGUAAAAGGUAG
Molecule: ribosomal RNA, 1488 nt
Filed under: uncultured Bordetella sp.
Lineage: Bacteria; Pseudomonadati; Pseudomonadota; Betaproteobacteria; Burkholderiales; Alcaligenaceae
Description: partial 16S-23S ribosomal RNA intergenic spacer
Rfam family: Bacterial small subunit ribosomal RNA
Source: RNAcentral